This 406-nucleotide ribosomal RNA is filed under the name uncultured bacterium. RNAcentral describes it as "partial 16S ribosomal RNA". It matches the Rfam family "Bacterial small subunit ribosomal RNA", at positions 30 to 526 of the family's 1533-position model. The record is from RNAcentral.
AUUGAACGCUGGCGGCAGGCUUAACACAUGCAAGUCGAGCGAGCGGCGGACGGGUGAGUAAUGUCUGGGAAACUGCCUGAUGGAGGGGGAUAACUACUGGAAACGGUAGCUAAUACCGCAUACCAUCAGAUGGCCCCUGAUGGGAUUAGCUAGUAGGUGGGGUAAUGGCUCACCUAGGCGACGAUCCCUAGCUGGUCUGAGAGGAUGACCAGCCACACUGGAACUGCGACACGGUCCAGACUCCUACGGGAGGCAGCAGGGGGGAAGAUUGGACAAUGGGCGAAAGCCUGAUCCAGCCAUGCCGCGUGUGUGAAGAAGGUCUUCGGAUUGUAAAGCACUUUAAGUUGGGAGGCGUUACCAACAGAAUAAGCACCGGCUAACUUCGUGCCAGCAGCCGCGGUAAUUC